AAAAUAAUCCUACCCUUUGUGAAUUUUGUUUGUUUGAAUAAUUUUUUUUUUUUAAAAAAUUAUUGGAGUCUUUCCCUUUAGAGUUUGCUUUUGAGUUUGUAAAAGAAUUCGAAAACAUCUAAAGGGGAUGGUCAAUAAUUUUUUUUGAAAAAAGACAUUUUUUAAAAUUAAACUUUUUGUAUUCAUUUGUCUAAAAAUUAUUUUUAUAAUAUAAAAACAACUUUUGACAAUGGAUCUCUUGGUUCUCGCAACGAUGAAGAACGCAGCAAAAUGCGAUAAGUAGUGUGAAUUGCAGAAUACGUGAAUCAUCGAAUCUUUGAACGCAUAUUGCACUUUUUUAGUUUACUAAAAAAGUAUGUCUGUUUGAGUAUCAGUAAAAUAUUCUCAUAAAAAUCAUUGUAUUUUUAUGGUUAUGAGUGUUUUACAACGAUACAAGUUGUUUCACUUUAAAUUUUUUUUUAAUAUUGAAAUUUUUCUAAUUUUAAUAAUUAAAAUUGGAUAAAAUUUUCCCGUCAAAAGGAAUAACCUAAACAAUUUUAAAUGAUUAAUUUUAGCAAAAUUUUCGUAAAAAAGGAAAAUUUUUAUUAAAAUAACUUGAUCUCAAAUCAGAUAAGAGUACCCGCUGAACUUAAGCAUAUCAAUAAGCGGAGGAAAAGAAACUAACAAGGAUUCCCUUAGUAACGGCGAGUGAAGCGGGAAGAGCUCAAAUUUGAAUCUUCAAGGUUUUACCUUGACGAAUUGUAGUUUAAAGGAAGUGUUUUCUGCUGAAGUUUUGGUAAAAGUUCUUUGGAAUAGGACAUCAUAGAGGGUGAGAAUCCCGUAUUUGACCAUUAUUUUCAGCUUUGUGAUACACUUUCAAAGAGUCGGAUUGUUUGGGAAUGCAGUCCAAAAUGGGUGGUAAAUUUCAUCUAAAGCUAAAUAUUGGCGAGAGACCGAUAGCGAACAAGUACCGUGAGGGAAAGAUGAAAAGAACUUUGAAAAGAGAGUUAAACAGUACGUGAAAUUGUCAAAAGGGAAGCGUUUGACACCAGUGUUGUUUUCUCGAAAAUCAAUUAAAAAUGGCUCGAUUUUGUAUUGCUGAGACCUUAAAAGCUCACUGUACAUUUUUCGUGUCUUUUUUAAUGCACUUUUCGUUUAACAAGUCAACAUCAGUUUCUUUUGUUGUAAAAGGGUCAUUGGAAGGUGGUUUUCUUUUCGGAGAAAGUGUUUAUAGCCUUUGGCCUCUGCAAUCGAAGAGACUGAGGUCUGCAGCGUAGACUCUUCGGGGUUAGAUACAUUUGUGCUAAGUUAUAGCUUUUUAUAGACAACUUGUUGACUAUAAUUAGUCUUGUAGCUUACUCGCUUAUGCUAUUUUACCUACGCUUAGGAUG
This 1370-nucleotide unclassified non-coding RNA is filed under the name uncultured Neocallimastigales. RNAcentral's name for it is "partial contains internal transcribed spacer 1, 5.8S ribosomal RNA, internal transcribed spacer 2, and large subunit ribosomal RNA". The stretch from base 596 to 1370 matches the Rfam family "Eukaryotic large subunit ribosomal RNA", at positions 1 to 626 of the family's 3401-position model. Lineage: Eukaryota; Fungi; Neocallimastigomycota; Neocallimastigomycetes; Neocallimastigales. The record is from RNAcentral.